This 1452-nucleotide ribosomal RNA is filed under the name Staphylococcus sp. Its description in RNAcentral is "bacterial SSU rRNA". It matches the Rfam family "Bacterial small subunit ribosomal RNA". Lineage: Bacteria; Bacillati; Bacillota; Bacilli; Caryophanales; Staphylococcaceae. The record is from RNAcentral.
CUUCGGGCAGCGCUAUAAUGCAGUCGAGCGACAGAUAAGGAGCUUGCUCCUUUGACGUUAGCGGCGGACGGGUGAGUAACACGUGGGUAACCUACCUAUAAGACUGGGAUAACUUCGGGAAACCGGAGCUAAUACCGGAUAACAUUUGGAACCGCAUGGUUCUAAAGUGAAAGAUGGUUUUGCUAUCACUUAUAGAUGGACCCGCGCCGUAUUAGCUAGUUGGUAAGGUAACGGCUUACCAAGGCAACGAUACGUAGCCGACCUGAGAGGGUGAUCGGCCACACUGGAACUGAGACACGGUCCAGACUCCUACGGGAGGCAGCAGUAGGGAAUCUUCCGCAAUGGGCGAAAGCCUGACGGAGCAACGCCGCGUGAGUGAUGAAGGGUUUCGGCUCGUAAAACUCUGUUAUUAGGGAAGAACAAAUGUGUAAGUAACUGUGCACAUCUUGACGGUACCUAAUCAGAAAGCCACGGCUAACUACGUGCCAGCAGCCGCGGUAAUACGUAGGUGGCAAGCGUUAUCCGGAAUUAUUGGGCGUAAAGCGCGCGUAGGCGGUUUCUUAAGUCUGAUGUGAAAGCCCACGGCUCAACCGUGGAGGGUCAUUGGAAACUGGGAAACUUGAGUGCAGAAGAGGAAAGUGGAAUUCCAUGUGUAGCGGUGAAAUGCGCAGAGAUAUGGAGGAACACCAGUGGCGAAGGCGACUUUCUGGUCUGUAACUGACGCUGAUGUGCGAAAGCGUGGGGAUCAAACAGGAUUAGAUACCCUGGUAGUCCACGCCGUAAACGAUGAGUGCUAAGUGUUAGGGGGUUUCCGCCCCUUAGUGCUGCAGCUAACGCAUUAAGCACUCCGCCUGGGGAGUACGACCGCAAGGUUGAAACUCAAAGGAAUUGACGGGGACCCGCACAAGCGGUGGAGCAUGUGGUUUAAUUCGAAGCAACGCGAAGAACCUUACCAAAUCUUGACAUCCUUUGAAAACUCUAGAGAUAGAGCCUUCCCCUUCGGGGGACAAAGUGACAGGUGGUGCAUGGUUGUCGUCAGCUCGUGUCGUGAGAUGUUGGGUUAAGUCCCGCAACGAGCGCAACCCUUAAGCUUAGUUGCCAUCAUUAAGUUGGGCACUCUAGGUUGACUGCCGGUGACAAACCGGAGGAAGGUGGGGAUGACGUCAAAUCAUCAUGCCCCUUAUGAUUUGGGCUACACACGUGCUACAAUGGACAAUACAAAGGGCAGCUAAACCGCGAGGUCAUGCAAAUCCCAUAAAGUUGUUCUCAGUUCGGAUUGUAGUCUGCAACUCGACUACAUGAAGCUGGAAUCGCUAGUAAUCGUAGAUCAGCAUGCUACGGUGAAUACGUUCCCGGGUCUUGUACACACCGCCCGUCACACCACGAGAGUUUGUAACACCCGAAGCCGGUGGAGUAACCAUUUAUGGAGCUAGCCGUCGAACUUAACAGGUA